UACAGAGGUCUCAAGCGUUGUUCGGAUUCAUUGGGCGUAAAGGGUGCGUAGGCGGCGCGGUAAGUCGGGUGUGAAAUCUUGGAGCUUAACUCCGAAACUGCAUUCGAUACUGGCGUGCUUGAGGACUGGAGAGGAGACUGGAAUUCAUGGUGUAGCAGUGAAAUGCGUAGAGAUCAUGAGGAAGACCAGUGGCGAAGGCGGGUCUCCGGACAGUUCCUGACACUGAGACACGAAGGCCAGGGGAGCAAACGGG
RNAcentral lists this ribosomal RNA (253 nucleotides) under uncultured bacterium. RNAcentral describes it as "partial 16S ribosomal RNA". It matches the Rfam family "Bacterial small subunit ribosomal RNA", at positions 524 to 776 of the family's 1533-position model. The record is from RNAcentral.